RNAcentral lists this ribosomal RNA (492 nucleotides) under uncultured bacterium. Its description in RNAcentral is "partial 16S ribosomal RNA". It matches the Rfam family "Bacterial small subunit ribosomal RNA", at positions 29 to 507 of the family's 1533-position model. The record is from RNAcentral.
AGUGAACGCUGGCGGUAGGCCUAACACAUGCAAGUCGAACGGCAGCACAGUAAGAGCUUGCUCUUACGGGUGGCGAGUGGCGGACGGGUGAGGAAUACAUCGGAAUCUACUUUUUCGUGGGGGAUAACGUAGGGAAACUUACGCUAAUACCGCAUACGACCUACGGGUGAAAGCAGGGGAUCUUCGGACCUUGCGCGAUUGAAUGAGCCGAUGUCGGAUUAGCUAGUUGGCGGGGUAAAGGCCCACCAAGGCGACGAUCCGUAGCUGGUCUGAGAGGAUGAUACGCCACACUGGAACUGAGACACGGUCCAGACUCCUACGGGAGGCAGCAGUGGGGAAUAUUGGACAAUGGGCGCAAGCCUGAUCCAGCCAUACCGCGUGUGUGAAGAAGGCCUUCGGGUUGUAAAGCCCUUUUGUUGGGAAAGAAAAGCAGCAGGUUAAUACCCCGCUGUUCUGACGGUACCCAAAGAAUAAGCACCGGCUAACUUCGUG